This 433-nucleotide ribosomal RNA is filed under the name uncultured bacterium. RNAcentral's name for it is "partial 16S ribosomal RNA". It matches the Rfam family "Bacterial small subunit ribosomal RNA", at positions 29 to 507 of the family's 1533-position model. The record is from RNAcentral.
AACGAACGCUGGCGGCAUGCCUAACACAUGCAAGUCGAACGAGACCUUCGGGUCUAGUGGCGCACGGGUGCGUAACGCGUGGGAACCUGCCCUUAGGUUCGGACUAACUCCCCGAAAGGGGUGCUAAUACCGGAUAAUGUCUUCGGACCAAAGAUUUAUCGCCUUUGGAUGGGCCCGCGUUGGAUUAGCUAGUUGGUAUGGUAAAAGCCUACCAAGGCGACGAUCCAUAGCUGGUCUGAGAGGAUGAUCAGCCACACUGGGACUGAGACACGGCCCAGACUCCUACGGGAGGCAGCAGUGGGGAAUAUUGGACAAUGGGCGAGAGCCUGAUCCAGCAAUGCCGCGUGAGUGAUGAAGGCCUUAGGGUUGUAAAGCUCUUUUACCCGGGAUGAUAAUGACAGUACCGGGAGAAUAAGCUCCGGCUAACUCCGUG